AUUGAACGCUGGCGGCAGGCCUAACACAUGCAAGUCGAACGAGUGGCGGACGGGUGAGUAAUGUCUGGGCAACUGACUGAUGGAGGGGGAUAACUACUGGAAACGGUAGCUAAUACCGCAUACCAUCGGAUGUGCCCAGAUGGGAUUAGCUAGGAGGUGGGGUAACUGCUCACCUAGGCGACGAUCCCUAGCUGGUCUGAGAGGAGGUAUAGCCACACUGGACCUGAUACACGGUCCAGAAUCCUACGUGAGGCAGCAGGGGGGAAUAUUGCACAAUGGGGUGAAGCCUGAUGCAGCCAUGCCGCGUGUAUGAAGAAGGCCUUCGGGGUGUAAAGUACUUUCAGCGGGGAGGCGUUACCCGCAGAAGAAGCACCGGCUAACUCCGUGCCAGCAGCCGCGGUAAUUC
This 406-nucleotide ribosomal RNA is filed under the name uncultured bacterium. Its description in RNAcentral is "partial 16S ribosomal RNA". It matches the Rfam family "Bacterial small subunit ribosomal RNA", at positions 30 to 526 of the family's 1533-position model. The record is from RNAcentral.